CAGUAGUCCACGAGUCGUCGACUCCGAAGUAGGGAUUUAAUUGUUUGGAGUUGUUGUGUGGGGAUGUGGGAGGUGCCCGAUGAGUUGUCCCAUGAUGGGUCGAGAGUUAUGUUGAAGUCGCCCCCCAGUAUGAGAGUCCCUUCUGCGAAUUCUUGGAGUUUGCGAAGUGUCUGUUUGAGGAAGCGGUAGUGUUGUGUGUUUGGGGCGUAAAUGUUUGCGAAUGUGUACUGGGGUCCUGCGAUCUUCCCUUUAAGGAAUAAGUAUCUUCCUUCGUCGUCUGUUUUGUAUCCCCCCUCCUGGAACGGCACCCUCUUGUGGAGAAGUAUUGCUGUCCCCCUAGCCUUACCCCCUUGGAAGUCACUGUAGUAUCCUUGUGUGUAGUGCUGAUUAGUCAAUUUGGGUCUGGUCCCUUUUUUGAAGUGGGUUUCCUGUAUCAUUACUAUAGAGGCCCUCUGUUUGUGGAAGUCUCUCAAUGCUCCUGAUCUCUUCUCUGGUUUAUUUAGGCCUUUUGCAUUGAUUGUAAGGAUGUGUAAGUGGUCUGGGGUCAGUGUCAUCCCGUCAAGUCAGGUUGUUGUCGACGGGUGUUGUGAAAAUGUCUUUGUCUUAUGUUCCUUUGGUGUGUGUAGUCUCAGGAGGUCUCACAGUCAGCUGUCGGUGUCGGGUUGGGGAGUCAAGUGUUGGGGUUUAGGUAAGGAUUAAGGGGUUGAGGUAUUGGAGUAGUCUGGGAGGUACCCAGAGAUCUCCGUGGUUUGCGUCACAGUGCGUGACGACUAGGUAGCCUGUGGUGUCCGUGUGAUGCUCACCUUUCGGGUGACGCCUCGCCUGCUGGGCAGUGGUUGGGCGUCCAGGCGCCUGGCGCAGUGUCCUAGUGGUGUGUCUCGUCUCGUGGUUUCCCUAUGUGGCUCCUUAGUGAUUACUCCAUAGGAGUACGCGUGUUAUUCCCCGCCUCGGGGUGUGGUGGUUCUGGGGCUUGCGUGGAUGAUUGUUUAUGCACGUGGUCUGUUUGUUUGUGGUUGGGUUGCGAGACAUUAACAGUGUUAUUAACAUUUCGGUUUCAAGUCACAACAGGUGAAAACAUAACAAAAUUCUAACAUUUCUUGUUUCAAUUUCGUGCACCGUUUACCUCUGCCCCCCUGCGUCCCAGGUUCCCACCCGCCCGCCUAUCUGGUGUGUUCUUGUGUCCCUUGUGUCUUUGCGUCCUGUUCACUAUUUUUAUCGUGAAGUGUGGGUGUCCCUGUCGGGGGUGAGAGAUAGAAGGUUGUUCCCGUAGGCGUGGGUCUAGCUGGUGUAUUCUUUGUCCCCCUGUCUCUGUGGCCUUAUGGGGUGCGCCCGUCGUAGGGUUCCUUGGUGUGUUGUGCUUCCUCCCCCUGUUCUAGAGGUGUGUGACUAUUCGGCGGGUGGUUAUAGUUUGGUCAUCUUGGUUUUGUCGCUUCCCAUUUAUCCCGGGUGCGGGGUCGGCACCCCCACCCCGGGUGUGCCCCGCCGGCGGAGCCCCCCGCCUGCUCCCCGAGGUUCAUUACAGCGCGGCUAGGCUGCGGCCGGGGGGGGCGAGCGCCCCACUCCCGAUCCCUCUUACUGUAGUGUUGGUACUAAGAGUUUGGGUCCCUGAUACUCCCCCCCCACCUCUAGUGUGAGUGCGUUUAGUCCAUGGGUAGCCCGGCAGGCCUGAGGGUUCUGCAUGGUCAAGCAUCUGCGCCGAUCUUGCCGCUUGGGUCUCAAGGUUCGGUGUAUCACUUUAUGUCUCUUAACCUGUAUGUCCGUGUAGGGUCUUAUUGAGUGUGUUGCCCCUUGGGCUAUAUACUUGCAGUUUUGAGAGUUUCGGCGCUGUUAGUUCUAGGGGUUCUGGUCAGGGACGAACAGUGUCUAUCCAGUUCAUUGCCGGGCCAUGUGGGUUCCUGGGAGGGUGGACAGGUAGUGCGCGGCCUUCUACAUGUUGGUGCCCGUAGGGCGCGUCGUCUGUUGUCUCGUUCUUCUGGGUCUGGGGGUUUGUUGCGGCUGGCGUUGUACCUCCAGUGAGAAGACGUAGAAGGCCGUUGGAUCUGGCCAAGUCAUAUGUAUCGUUGGGAGUUGUAGUUCUCUCGUUAGGUCCAUCAGGUCUCCCUCGCUCUUCACUGUGAAGGGGCCAUUACUUGUGGUGACUUGUAGUCCGGUGGGGAAAUUCCACCUGUAUCUGAUCUUAUUAGUCUGCAAUGUCCGCGUGAGUGGGCGCAGGACUCGUCGGUACGCCAGCGUUGCAGGGGAUAGGUCUGGAUACAGUUGGAUCUCAGCGUCAUUGUGGAUGAUUUGGCUCUGAACCCUGUCACUUUUCAGGAUAUCCUCCUUCACUUGGAAGUGUGUUAGACAGCAUAUUACGUCUCUAGGAGGGGAGUCAGGUGGGCCCCUGGGUCUGAGGGCUCUGUGCGCCCUUACAAAUUCGAUGGGCGCUGUGUUCGGCCUUUGCAGGAGGGCAUUAAAAAUUUCCGUGAGCGUGUUCCGUAUUGGGGUAGUCUGGUCACAUUCUUCUGGUAGCCCCCGGACUCUGAUGUUUUGACGUCUCCCUCGGUUGUCUAGGUCCUCUAAAUGGAGGGCCAUUUGACGCAAUUGUGUUUCUUGCCGCUUUAUGGUACUCGUGGUGGCAUUCUGCGCCGACAUUACGUGGUCGCAAUCUGCCUCCACCUGGGUCAGUUUGUGGUGAAUCCCUUGCAUGUCUUCCCUCAGGGCCUGGAGCUCCCCAGUGAUAGAUUUAUGGAGGGCGGCAUUAGCCUCCUUCAGGUCAUUUUUUGUGGGUAGGUUAUUUAUCAGCGUUACCCAGUCCAGCUGGGGUAAGGGGUUGUCAGGAGGAUUUUGUACCUGGUCGUGGUGUCCGUCUCUGGGUGAGGUCGGGCGGCCUGGGCCCAGGGAUGCAGUGUCACCGGAGGCCUGGGAAGCUUGGUCGGCCUGGGUUGUGAGGUACUGGCGCAUGCCGGCUGAUUGUGACCCUCUCGGUGUGUUGGCGACCGGUGCAGCCUGUUGGGGCUUGUUAGUUUUGCCCAUUAUUGCGGUAGUGGAGCUGGUUAGGCGGGUUUGUGAGCGGAGCCGGUCGGGAGCUCGUG
RNAcentral lists this long non-coding RNA (3071 nucleotides) under Pelobates cultripes (western spadefoot toad). The record is from RNAcentral. Lineage: Eukaryota; Metazoa; Chordata; Amphibia; Anura; Pelobatidae.